GAUGAACGCUGGCGGCGUGCCUAAUACAUGCAAGUCGAGCGAACAGACGAGGAGCUUGCUCCUCUGACGUUAGCGGCGGACGGGUGAGUAACACGUGGAUAACCUACCUAUAAGACUGGGAUAACUUCGGGAAACCGGAGCUAAUACCGGAUAAUAUAUUGAACCGCAUGGUUCAAUAGUGAAAGACGGUUUUGCUGUCACUUAUAGAUGGAUCCGCGCCGCAUUAGCUAGUUGGUAAGGUAACGGCUUACCAAGGCCACGAUGCGUAGCCGACCUGAGAGGGUGAUCGGCCACACUAGAACUGAGACACGGUCCAGACUCCUACGGGAGGCAGCAGUAGGGAAUCUUCCACAAGGGGCGAAAACCUGACGGAGCAACGCCGCGUGAGUGAUGAAGGUCUUCGGAUCGUAAAACUCUGUUAUUAGGUAAGAACAAAUGUGUAAGGAACUAUGCACGUCGUGACGGUACCUAAUCAGAAAGCCACGGCUAACUACGUG
Molecule: ribosomal RNA, 497 nt
Filed under: uncultured bacterium
Lineage: Bacteria
Description: partial 16S ribosomal RNA
Rfam family: Bacterial small subunit ribosomal RNA
Source: RNAcentral